UACGUAGGGCGCAAGCGUUGUCCGGAAUUAUUGGGCGUAAAGAGCUCGUAGGCGGUUUGUCGCGUCUGCUGUGAAAACUCGAGGCUCAACCUCGGGCUUGCAGUGGGUACGGGCAGACUAGAGUGCGGUAGGGGAGACUGGAAUUCCUGGUGUAGCGGUGAAAUGCGCAGAUAUCAGGAGGAACACCGGUGGCGAAGGCGGGUCUCUGGGCCGAUACUGACGCUGAGGAGCGAAAGCGUGGGGAGCAAACAGG
This 253-nucleotide ribosomal RNA is filed under the name uncultured bacterium. Its description in RNAcentral is "partial 16S ribosomal RNA". It matches the Rfam family "Bacterial small subunit ribosomal RNA", at positions 524 to 776 of the family's 1533-position model. The record is from RNAcentral.